Molecule: ribosomal RNA, 480 nt
Filed under: uncultured bacterium
Lineage: Bacteria
Description: bacterial SSU rRNA
Rfam family: Bacterial small subunit ribosomal RNA
Source: RNAcentral
UCAGGAUGAACGCUGGCGGCGUGCCUAACACAUGCAAGUCGAACGGGGUGUCUGAUCUUCGGACUGGACACUUAGUGGCGGACGGGUGAGUAACGCGUGGGUAACCUGCCUCAUACAGGGGGAUAGCAGUUGGAAACGACUGAUAAUACCGCAUAAGCGCACAGUACCGCAUGGUACAGUGUGAAAAACUCCGGUGGUAUGAGAUGGACCCGCGUCUGAUUAGCUUGUUGGCGGGGUAACGGCCCACCAAGGCGACGAUCAGUAGCCGGCCUGAGAGGGUGAACGGCCACAUUGGGACUGAGACACGGCCCAAACUCCUACGGGAGGCAGCAGUGGGGAAUAUUGCACAAUGGGGGAAACCCUGAUGCCAGCGACGCCGCGUGAAGGAUGAAGUAUUUCGGUAUGUAAACUUCUAUCAGCAGGGAAGAUGAUGACGGUACCUGACUAAGAAGCCCCGGCUAACUACGUGCCAGCCGCUGC